Camelus ferus (Wild Bactrian camel) is the source of this 72-nucleotide transfer RNA. It matches the Rfam family "tRNA". Rfam says of the family: Transfer RNA (tRNA) molecules are approximately 80 nucleotides in length. The record is from Rfam. Lineage: Eukaryota; Metazoa; Chordata; Mammalia; Artiodactyla; Camelidae.
GAAGGCAUAGCUCAGGGGUAGAGCGCAUGCCUAGUAUGCGUGAGGUCCUGGGUUCAGUCCCCAGUCCCUCCA